UUGGAGGGCAAGUCUGGUGCCAGCAGCCGCGGUAAUUCCAGCUCCAAUAGCGUAUAUUAAAGUUGUUGCAGUUAAAAAGCUCGUAGUUGAAUUUCGAGACCGGCUUACUGGUCGUGCUAUUGUACGUACUGGUAUAAUCGGUUUCUCCUUUCUGACGAACUAUAAUGCCAUUAAUUUGGUGUUUUAGGGAAUCAGGACUGUUACUUUGAAAAAAUUAGAGUGUUUAAAGCAGGCUCACGCUUGAAUACAUUAGCAUGGAAUAACGGAAUAGGACGUUUGAUUCUAUUUUGUUGGUUUCUAGGAUCGACGUAAUGAUUAAUAGGGAUAGUUGGGGGCAUUAGUAUUCAAUUGUCAGAGGUGAAAUUCUUGGAUUUAUUGAAGACUAACUACUGCGAAAGCAUUUGCCAAGGAUGUUUUCAUUAAUCAAGAACGAAAGUUAGGGGAUCGAAGACGAUCAGAUACCGUCGUAGUCUUAACCAUAAACUAUGCCGACUAGGGAUCGGAUGAUGUUAAUUUUUUAAUGACUCAUUCGGCGCCUUACGGGAAAC
This 548-nucleotide ribosomal RNA is filed under the name uncultured Glomus. RNAcentral describes it as "SSU rRNA". It matches the Rfam family "Eukaryotic small subunit ribosomal RNA", at positions 548 to 1098 of the family's 1831-position model. The record is from RNAcentral. RNAcentral also lists the same sequence under 1 other name. Lineage: Eukaryota; Fungi; Glomeromycota; Glomeromycetes; Glomerales; Glomeraceae.